RNAcentral lists this non-coding RNA (24 nucleotides) under Cricetulus griseus (Chinese hamster). Lineage: Eukaryota; Metazoa; Chordata; Mammalia; Rodentia; Cricetidae. The record is from RNAcentral.
UUAUUUUUUAGGUAGACUCAGGCU